GCCUGAUAAAAUGCUCAGAAUAAAUGAGAUAAUUCUCAGAAUUAUAGUGCUCAAAACAAAUGGAAAGGACUUACCUACUGCAAUGGCUGCUUUCCUCUUCUUGUUAUGUUGCGUGUAGAUUACUACCCGACGUCUUCCGCCACACCGUGUUGACGGAUACGGGAUUGUUUAUUAUCUUUUAAAAGGACCUCCUAGACCCUUUGCUUGCUUCUCUGCUACGCUUCUCUGUAAAUGCUUGUACCUCCAGGAUACAUUCUGUGCUUUAAACAAUUGGAGAGGACUUACUGUACCGAGCGCUGUCGCUUGCCUCUCUAUGUUGAAGAUUGACGUCCGUCGCCUUGUUCUAGGUUGAAAGGACGCCGAUAUAUUUGGACUAGUCUGGAUCCUUGAAAACGUUGCUCUCCUCUUUUCUAUUGAUGCGGAUGAUGGUAUUUGAUUUGCUUGAUGACCCAACGAACCAGCAGUGGGAUGUUUUUCCACGGCGCCGAUCUUCAGGAAAACGGAGUAAAACGCGAACGCGAUCAACUGAACGCGAAAGACCCGCUAUUCCCGGAUAG
Long non-coding RNA from Pieris brassicae (large cabbage white), 557 nucleotides. RefSeq lists it as uncharacterized. The transcript is spliced from 2 exons. The record is from RefSeq and is a predicted model, not a curated record. NCBI's taxonomy places the organism in Eukaryota, Metazoa, Arthropoda, Insecta, Lepidoptera, Pieridae.